Molecule: long non-coding RNA, 799 nt
Filed under: Salmo salar (Atlantic salmon)
Lineage: Eukaryota; Metazoa; Chordata; Actinopteri; Salmoniformes; Salmonidae
Description: lncRNA (ENSSSAG00000100617.1)
Source: RNAcentral
ACCAGCAGCACUUCUUUGGUAGUCCUUACAUGCUCUAGUCUACUAUGCCAACAGCUGCUGGGCGUGGCAUUCGACACAAAGUUGGCUAGCUAAAAUGUAAAAUAAUUGACAGCAGCAAAAUGAUACCGUUCGUAGGUUACCUAACUAUUUAGCUAGCGCUGACAGGAUUAGACCGCCUGCAGCAUUGCUGCUUCCUUUUGAAGUUCGACGUGCAAUUCAUACCGAAAUCUUGAUGGUCAGAACCACCAGUAACAUCGUCCAAGCUAGCUACAUACAAACGGCUAGUCAAAUGUAUGGCACUUGUAUAUGUGGCCCAAACUUGAAAAUGUCUUAUGAAACAAACCUGUCGUCAUGAUGCAGUUCACCUGCUGAUGGUUGACAUAAACAUCCGGCUCGAGUUGUCUGGGAGGAAGCUAGAGCAGACAGGCUAGAGCUAGGAGCAGACAGGCUGGCGCUGGGAGCAGACAGGCUAGAGCUAGGAGCAGACAGGCUAGAGCUGGGAGCAGACAGGCUAGCGCUGGGAGCAGACAGGCUGGCGAUGGGAGCAGACAGGCUAGCGCUUGGAGCAGACAGGCUAGCGCUUGGAGCAGACAGGCUAGAGCAGACAGGCUAGUGCUAGGAGCAGACAGGCUAGAGCUAAGAGCAGACAGGCUAGAGCUAAGAGCAGACAGGCUAGAGCUAAGAGCAGACAGGCUAGAGCUAAGAGCAGACAGGCUAGAGCUAAGAGCAGACAGGCUAGAGCUAGGAGCAGACAGGCUAGGAGCAGACAGGCUAGAGCAGACAGGCUAGAGCAGUGCGU